GGUUCUGUCCACAAUGUGCAUUUUUGGGGAAGAGGAAAGAGGGGUUUGUGCUUGUUUGAAGUCAAGCGGCAGCUUCCCCAGCACUAACCCUGAGUAUUUGCCUGGAGUGUGAUUCUGGAAGGCUUGGGGUAGGCCACAGGCUGAGACUCCUUCCCCCUGUCCUAGCGAACGGCCCCACAGCUGCUCAGCCCAAAAGCCCUCUAUCUGGGAAACCCCUCACACGUCAGUCCUCUCUAGCCCAGAGCAGC
Oxyura jamaicensis (ruddy duck) is the source of this 248-nucleotide long non-coding RNA. RefSeq lists it as uncharacterized. NCBI's taxonomy places the organism in Eukaryota, Metazoa, Chordata, Aves, Anseriformes, Anatidae. The record is from RefSeq and is a predicted model, not a curated record. The transcript is spliced from 3 exons.